This 563-nucleotide ribosomal RNA is filed under the name uncultured bacterium. RNAcentral describes it as "bacterial SSU rRNA". It matches the Rfam family "Bacterial small subunit ribosomal RNA", at positions 49 to 653 of the family's 1533-position model. The record is from RNAcentral.
UUACACAUGCAGUCGAGCGAGAGCAGCUGAGGGGUUACCUCGGUUGGGACAGCGGCGGAACGGGGUGCGUAACACGUGGGCAACUGCCCCUGACACUGGGAUACCCGGGAAACCGGAGCUAAUACCGGAUACUCUCGGCCGAUCACAUGGCUGCGAGGAAAGGUCCGCGGUCAGGGAUGGGCCCGGGCUAUCAGUUGUGGGAGGUAACGGCCACCAAGGGAGAGGGUAUGGCUGAAGGAUACACAAUGAACGAAUAGGUCCAGACUCCUACGGGAGGCAGCAGUGGGGAAUAUUGCACAAUGGGCGAAAGCCUGAUGCAGCGACGCCGCGUGAGGGAUGAAGGCCUUCGGGUCGUAAACCUCUUUCGGCAGGGACGAAGCGAUCAGUGACGGUACCUGCAGAAGAAGCCCCGGCUAACUACGUGCCAGCAGCCGCGGUAAUACGUAGGGGGCAAGCGUUGUCCGGAUUUAUUGGGCGUAAAGAGCGUGUAGCGGUAAUAGGUCCGUUGUGAAAACUCGAGGUCAACUCGAACGUCAUGGAAACCAUCUGGCUAGAGUCCGGAA